RNAcentral lists this ribosomal RNA (2288 nucleotides) under human gut metagenome. RNAcentral describes it as "bacterial LSU rRNA". It matches the Rfam family "Bacterial large subunit ribosomal RNA", at positions 1 to 2324 of the family's 2925-position model. The record is from RNAcentral.
GAAAGUAAACAAGGGCGCAUGGAGGAUGCCUAGGCUCUCGGAGGCGAAGAAGGACGUGAUAAGCUGCGAAAAGUUACGGUAAGGCGCAAAUAGCCCUAGACCCGUAAAUAUCCGAAUGGGGCAACCCGGCCAGCAAUGGUCAUACCGCCAAGCGGUAAGCCAACGCGGGGAACUGAAACAUCUAAGUACCCGCAGGAAAAGAAAAUAACAAUGAUUCCGCCAGUAGUGGCGAGCGAACGCGGAACAGCCCAAACCACUCGUGUUACGGCACGAGUGGGGUAGAAGGAUCCACGAUACGGCAAGAAAUAAGUUAGCAGAAUACGAUGGAAAUCGUAGCCAAAGACGGUGACAGCCCAGUACGCGAAAACCGACAGAAGCCCAGUGGACACCUGAGUAACCCAGGACACGAGAAAUCCGGGGCGAAUCAGCGGGGCCCAUCCCGUAAGGCUAAAUACUCCCGAGAGACCGAUAGCGAACCAGUACUGUGAAGGAAAGGUGAAAAGAACCUCGAACAGAGGAGUGAAAAAGACCCUGAAACCAUGCGCCUACAAGCGGUCGGAGCAUGUUAAAAUGUGACGGCGUGCCUUUUGCAUAAUGAACCUACGAGUUACUCUCGCUGGCAAGGUUAAGCGAUUCAGUCGCGCAGCCGAAGCGAAAGCAAGUCCGAAUAAGGCGUACAGUCAGCGGGAGUAGACGCGAAACCAAGUGAUCUACCCUUGGUCAGGUUGAAGGUUGGGUAACACCAACUGGAGGACCGCACCGAUAAGCGUUGAAAAGCUUACGGAUGAACUGAGGGUAGGAGUGAAAGGCCAAUCAAACUUGGAGAUAGCUCGUACUCCCCGAAAUGCAUUUAGGUGCAGCCUCGGGCCAGUAUGUAAUAGAGGUAGAGCCACUGAUAAGUCGCGAGGGUUUCAACGCCUAUCAAGACUUGACAAACUCCGAAUACUAUUACAGGUACCCCGGGAGUGAGGGCAUGGGUGCUAAGGUCCAUGUCCGAGAGGGAAAGAACCCAGACCAUCAGCUAAGGUCCCGAAAUAUAUGCUAAGUUGAAGAUAAAACGAAGUAGAGACCCUGAGACAGCUAGGAUGUUGGCUUGGAAGCAGCCAUUCAUUUAAAGAGUGCGUAACAGCUCACUAGUCGAGGAGUUUUGCAUGGAUAAUAAUCGGGCAUAAGCCCUUUACCGAAGCUGUGGAUGUCGUAAGACAUGGUAGGGGAGCAUUCCGGCGGCGACGAAGGCCGUCCUCGAGGACGACUGGAGCUUUCGGAAAAGCAAAUGUAGGUAUAAGUAACGAUAAAGGGGGCGUGAAACCCCCUCGCCAUAAGACUAAGGAUUCCUGAUCAACGCUAAUCGGAUCAGGGUAAGUCGGGCCCUAAGGCGCAGCCGAACGGCGUAGCCGAUGGAAGAAACGGUAAAGAUUCCGUUACUGGAUAUAGGAGCGAUGUGGAGACGGAGAAGUGACACACCCGCCUGCCGACGGAAGCGCAGGUUAAAGGAAGUAGGUAAACGCCGGGUAGGCAAAUCCGCCCAGCGUGCCGAAGCUGACAGUAUCGAGAGCCCCCGGGCAAUCGAAUAGCGGUGGUAAUCAGGCUCCCAAGAAAAUCCGCUAAGCAUAUUCUAUAUUCACCCGUACCCCAAACGGACACACGUAGUCGGGUAGAAUAUACCAAGGCGCUCGAAAGACUCACGGUUAAGGAACUAGGCAAAUUGACCCUGUAACCUCGGGAAAAAGGGUCCCCAGUAAGAUGGGGCGCAGAGAAUAGGUCCAGGCAACUGUUUAACAAAAACACAGGGCUGUGCAAAAUUUCAAGAUGACGUAUACAGCCUGACACCUGCCCGGUGCUGGAAGGUUAAGAGGAGAAGUCAUUCGCAAGAAGAAGCUUUGAAUUGAAGCCCCAGUAAACGGCGGCCGUAACUAUAACGGUCCUAAGGUAGCGAAAUUCCUUGUCGGGUAAGUUCCGACCUGCACGAAUGGUGUAAUGAUCUGGACACUGUCUCAACCGUGAGCUCGGUGAAAUUGUAGUAUCGGUGAAGAUGCCGAUUACCCGCAACGGGACGAAAAGACCCCGUGAACCUUUACUGCAACUUAACAUUGUAAUUGGGUAUCCGAUGUGUAGGAUAGUCCGGAGGCAAAGAAGCAGGUACGCCAGUAUUUGUGGAGCCGACCUUGAAAUACGGACCUUUGGCUAUUUGAUUACUAACCCGCGCUAGUGGGGACAUUGUUUGGUGGGUAGUUUGACUGGGGUGGUCGCCUCCAAAAGCGUAACGGAGGCUUCUAAAGGUGCCCUCA